RNAcentral lists this ribosomal RNA (1955 nucleotides) under Planctomycetota bacterium. Its description in RNAcentral is "partial 23S ribosomal RNA". It matches the Rfam family "Bacterial large subunit ribosomal RNA", at positions 986 to 2925 of the family's 2925-position model. Lineage: Bacteria; Pseudomonadati; Planctomycetota. The record is from RNAcentral.
AGUCCGCGGGGGAUAAGCUCCGCGGUCGAGAGGGAAACAACCCAGACCAUCUGCUCAGGUCCCAAAGUCGUUGCUUAGUCACUAAGGAAGUUGAAUUGCGGAGACAGCCAGGAUGUUGGCUUAGAAGCAGCCAUCAUUUAAAAAGUGCGUAAUAGCUUACCAGUCGAGCAUUCCUGUGCCGAUAAUUAACGGGACUCAAGUUCACCGCCGAAGCCUCGGAAUUGAAUCCAAUGGCGGAUUCAAUUGGUAGGGGAGCGUUCCAUAUCAGGCUGAAGGAGGAUCGUAAGGCCCUCUGGACGAAAUGGAAGUGAUUAUGCCGGCAUGAGUAGCGAUAAAACGGAUGGGAAUUCCGUUCGCCGUAAGCCUAAGGUUUCCUGGGGUAGGCAAGUCCGCCCAGGGUUAGCCGGAUCCUAAGGCGAGGCCGAAAGGCGUAGUCGAUGGACAACAGGUUAAUAUUCCUGUGCUACCCGCAAGCGUUUGAGCGGAGGCGUGACGGAGAGGUUAGAUGGCCGACCCGAUGGAUGGAUCGGUCCCGAGCGUAGGGGGGAACAAGCGAGGUAAAUCCCGUAGUUCCAUUCAACCCCCAGGCAGGGAAGCUUGCUCCAUUUAUACCUCUUCCAAGAAAAGUCGUCGCCGCGAGCCCAUGGGUAUCCGUACCGUAAACCGACACAGGUAGGCGAGGAGAGCAUCCUCAGGCGCUCGAGAUAACUCUCGUUAAGGAACUCGGCAAAAUGACUCCGUAACUUCGGGAGAAGGAGUGCCAUCUAGGGUGAAGGGGCUUGCCCCCAGAGCUCAGGAUGGCCGCAGUGAAAAGGCCCAAGCGACUGUUUACUAAAAACACAGGUCUGUGCUAAGACAGAUAGUCGAUGUAUACAGACUGACGCCUGCUCGGUGCCGGUAGGUGAAGGGAAUGGGUUAACCUUCGGGUGAAGCUCUGAACCGAAGCCCCGGUAAACGGCGGCCCUAACCUUGAGGGUCCUAAGGUAGCGAAGUUCCUUGUCGGGUAAGUUCCGACCCGCACGAAUGGCGUAACGACUUGGGCACUGUCUCAACGAGAGACUCGGCGAAAUUGUAGUAGUGGUGAAGAUGCCACUUUCCCGCAGCAAGACGGAAAGACCCCGUGAACCUUUACUGCAGCUUAGUAUUGGGUUUUGGCAUGUAGUGUGUAGGAUAGGUGGGAGACUGUGAAGAGGGGGCGUUAGCCCUCUUGGAGUCACACGUGAAAUACCACUCUUUGCAUGUUAAAGUUCUAACCGGCUUCCAUGAAUCUGGGGCUGGGACAGUGCUUGGUGGGCAGUUUGGCUGGGGCGGCCUCCUCCCAAAAAGUAACGGAGGAGUCCAAUGGCUUCCUCAGUGCGGUCAGCAAUCGCACGUUGAGCAUAAGGGUAUAAGGAAGCUUGACUGUGAGACCGAUAGGUCGAGCAGAUGUGAAAGCAGGGCCUAGUGAUCCGGCGUAUUCCGAGUGGAAGGGACGUCGCUCAUCAGAUAAAAGGUACUCCGGGGAUAACAGGCUGAUAACUCCCAAGAGUCCAAAUCGACGGAGUUGUUUGGCACCUCGAUGUCGGCUCAUCGCAUCCUGGGGCUGUAGAAGGUCCCAAGGGUUUGGCUGUUCGCCAAUUAAAGCGGUACGCGAGCUGGGUUUAGACCGGCGUGAGCCAGGUCGGUCCCUAUCUGCUGUGGGUGCAGGAGACCUGAAGGGGUUUACCCUUAGUACGAGAGGAUUGGGGUGGACGAACCUCUGGUGUUCCAGUUGUCGUGCUAACGGCAUCGCUGGGUAGCUAUGUUCGGAUAGGAUAAGCGCUGAAGGCAUAUAAGCGCGAAGCCCUCCCUAAAAAUAGGUCUCCAUGUGACUUGUCACGAGAGGCACCUUGAAGACGACAAGGUUGAUAGGCCAGAAGUGUAAGCGCAGCAAUGCGUUCAGCGGACUGGUACUAAUUUGCCGAUCGCUUGCCACA